Long non-coding RNA from Dermacentor andersoni, 577 nucleotides. RefSeq lists it as uncharacterized. The record is from RefSeq and is a predicted model, not a curated record. Lineage: Eukaryota; Metazoa; Arthropoda; Arachnida; Ixodida; Ixodidae.
AUAUUUCUGGCUUUCUCCAAAGAGGCGGAAAUAGUGCCUUUUCCCAUCAAAUCUCUCUCUCUCUCAAACACACACAUACUCUCUCUCUCUCCACGUGCUCGUCUGCACAGCGUCUGGCGGCGUAGUUAACUCGCGAAAGCAUUCACGAGAUAGGCAUAGCCUUGAAACGACGCGCUCGUUCGUAUUUCCCUUUUAGCCGGCGCUCUAUGCACCUACAAACGCUGCAGCGCAUUAUGCAUCGCAUUUUUCUCUGUGAUAUAUGCACAAGUAAAGAAUUUGGCAAGCGCCGCAACAUAGGCCCGCCUGACCGCCGUGCGCCGGCCGCCGCCGACUACAUUGUCGGGUUAGCUCGGAAGGACUGGUACGUAGCUUUUACACAGGAGUCGCUGAAUCAGGAGUCACCGCUGUGAGCAACUUCAUCGUCAAUUGCCUCUUCCACGGCAUUUGAGGGCUGCAGUGGCUUCUGACAAACAAAGAACACACUACGCAACUGCAGCCUAGAAGGAGACCGGCAGAAGGAGACACGAUACAGUCCAUGCAGACGCUAACACACUGGAAGAAAACGUGCACGCACACU